GCGCUCAUCUGGCAGCACAUAUACUCAAACCGGAAUGAUCUGGAGAAGAUUAGCGUGGCCCUUGUGCAAGGACGACACAUAAAUUCGUGAAGUGUUCCAUAUUUUG
Cercocebus atys (sooty mangabey) is the source of this 106-nucleotide small nuclear RNA. NCBI's taxonomy places the organism in Eukaryota, Metazoa, Chordata, Mammalia, Primates, Cercopithecidae. The record is from Ensembl.